GAUGAAGAACGCAGCGAAAUGCGAUAAGUAGUGUGAAUUGCAGAAUUCAGUGAAUCAUCGAAUCUUUGAACGCACAUUGCGCCCUUUGGUAUUCCUUAGGGCAUGCCUGUUCGAGCGUCAUUUAAACCUUCAAGCUCAGCUUGGUGUUGGGUGACUGUCCGCUUCACCGCGGACUCGCCUCAAAAUUAUUGGCGGCCGGUACAUUGGCUUCGAGCGCAGCAGAAACGCGAACUCGGGCCCGUCGUAUUGGCUCCCAGAAGCUAUCUUCACAAUUUUGACCUCGGAUCAGGUAGGGAUACCCGCUGAACUUAAGCAUAUAAUAAGCGGAGGA
Molecule: unclassified non-coding RNA, 331 nt
Filed under: soil metagenome
Description: partial contains 5.8S ribosomal RNA, internal transcribed spacer 2, and large subunit ribosomal RNA
Rfam family: 5.8S ribosomal RNA (bases 1-120)
Source: RNAcentral